This is a long non-coding RNA of Silurus meridionalis, 1709 nucleotides long. RefSeq lists it as uncharacterized. Lineage: Eukaryota; Metazoa; Chordata; Actinopteri; Siluriformes; Siluridae. The record is from RefSeq and is a predicted model, not a curated record. The transcript has 4 exons.
AGGCUCCUACACUGACUCAGAUUUCACCAAACUCUGUGGUCAAACCUGAGAAGUCCUUCAGUUCAGAUGUUCCACACCCAGCCCAACAUGCAUCUCUGUAGACUUCAGUUUAUAUAAAACUGGGACAUCAAUAAAGAAGCAAACUGCAGAGUCUUCAACAACAUUUACUCUGACUGUAGAAGCUUCACAUCAGGGCGAGUACACCUGUGAUUACACAUACAGGGAAACAUCCUCCACUUCAUCCAGGAGCAGCUCCAUUAACAUUACUGUGGUAAACCUGCUGGAGCCCAAUAUCUCCUUCAGUGCUGUCGGUGGUUCAUUUCACUGGGGGUCUGAUGGACCAGAUGUGACAAGGGGCUACAGCUUCUCAAUCAUCUGCUUCACUAAACCUCAGUAUCCAGGAGGUUCCUUCCACUUGGAGUUUAGUGGAUCCAAUAUCACUAGAACUCAAUCAGCUGUUAACCACUCAGCCAUCUUCCUGUUUCCUGAGGCAGAUUUUGUCCAUCAUGGAAACUACAGCUGUACCUAUGAGAUUAAUGUGUCUUCACGUACUUUUUCACUGUCAAUGAGGUCCUGGUCAUCACUGUAAAAGCAUCUCUAGCUCCCUACAUUGGUGUUGGAGUGACAGCAGGACUGCUUCUCUUCCUAGUUCCACUCAUCAUUUACUUUGUAAAAAGGCAACAAACAAGAAAUAAUCAGCUGAAUAAGACAAAUGAUAUGCAGUUAAAUCAAGUUGGAGGUGCCAACAACACUUAUGAGAGUCCCCAAGGAAAGCCUGAGACAGAUGAAAUUGAAGACAUUUAUCAAAAUGCAGAAACCAUUUUCCAGCAGGAGGAGGAUUCCAAACACUCGGAUGAUGAUUACAUGAAUGUUUAUCCCAAUGAACAAAGAAGUGAUGUGGGCAAUGACUAUGUGGAUACGGACAUUUAUGCCAAUUGUGUAGGUUAAAGUGCAGUAUCCACAGUCCAGUAACAAGUUAUUGUUAAAUUAGAUCAUUACUUUCCAUAGUUAAGAUAUUAUCAUUGUGAAUGAUAGAUUUAAAUGACAUUUAAAUCAGUUUAUUCUUUACUCAGGACUCAUGUAUUCAUGUAAAACAUUUGGUUUUAUUUUCUUAAUUUUUACACAUAUUUUAUUAUUAUUUACCAUUGCAGUGGAUGCAGAACACAUACAUUUUUAUACAAUUCUAAUCUAAUAUAGUAUAGAAAUAUUUUUACUUGCAGGAUUUUCUUACUUAAUUUGACUUUUAAUGAUUGUAAAUUACAUUUAUUUAAUCCAUGUUCUGUUAUCUGCAAAAUGUAUUUCAGUCUUAUUAAAAGCAAUUUGGCUUUGGAGUGCUAGCACUUGAAAUUGUGCUUUCUCCUCAUCCUCAUGUUCUUUUCACAGCUAUGAUACAAAAAAUAUUUUUGUUGAUAUUUGCAACAUAGGUUAAAUUAUAGCACUGAUAUACAUGCAAAAUAUUUAAACUUUUUUUAUUUUGUAAUGUAGAAUUAUUAAAUUGCUUCUAUAAUUAAGGCUCUUAUCAAUUUAGUGAUUCUGAAAAACUAUAAAAAUGUAGCUGCAAUGUCAGAGAUUGCCCCUGUGGCAACCCUUUGUAUUGUCAUUAGUCUCUGUAGCAGCCCUUCAGCAUAGAACAAAGAAGGCAGGGAUUUUCUUGACAGGUGCCUUAGAUUUAUUUUUUCUCAAAUGUAAUAAAACUUAUCACUGAAGUA